AAAUAACUAAUAAAUAGCCUUUCUGGUCCUGCUCCAUUCGCGUUUAUUGCUUUGAAUUGAUAUUUUUUAUGCUCCUCUCCUCUUAGCUCAACACGUUCCAACCUGGCUCAGUAUAAUAGCCAAACAAACCGAAACUAAACUGUCUAUCCUCUUUUUCUCUCUCUCUGUGUUACCUUCAGCGAGUUUGAGUUCAUGGCGGCCUCAAAACUCGCUUUCCUGUCAAUUCUCUUCGUUUUUGCCAUAAUAUUCACCGCCGUCGGUGUCAGGGCUGAUGUUGAUGAUGAUAGUACAGCUGAGUCGGCUGCUGCCGUUGAUUUGUCCGCGUUGAAGAUCGAACUUGAUCAACUCCAGUCUAAGAUCCACGCACUCGAAUCUCAUAUCGAUGAGAAAACCAAAGAAUUGAAUCUUAAGGAUGUCAUGAUAGCGCAGAAGGAGACAAUUAUUCAAGAGAAAGUUGAUAGCAUCGCGUCGCUGCAGAGUGAAAUCUCAUCUCUUAAGAAAAAAGGGAAGAUUGAUGCUCAGGAGCUAGUUGGGAAGGCGCAUGCUCGUGCAGGCGAGCUAGAGAAACAGAUGGUGAAGCUCUCUAAGGAAUUAGAAACACAAAAACAGGAAAACGAGGCCCUGGAAGCCAGAGCAAGUGAAGCAGAAAAGAAGAUUAGUGAAUUGAACUUUAAGCUAGCAGAUCUUGAAAAGAUUAACGUGGAGCAGAAAAGCAAAAUCCAUAAAACAGAACGUGCUCUUAAAAUUGCUGAGGAAGAACUGAUAAAAACAAAAUCUGAGGCCAUUUCAAAGGCCAAAGAGUUAAUGGAGGUUCACGGGGCAUGGCUUCCACCUUGGCUUGCUGUACAGUUGAUUCGUUGGCAGUCUUUGGCACAGACACGUUGGAGUGAGCAUGGAAAACCUACCAUGGAACUGGCAAUUCAAAAGGCCCUGGAGAAAAAAGCCCAAGCUGAAAAGUGGGCUGAGCCACAUGUGGAAACAAUUAAAACUAAAUGGGUCCCAGCUAUUAAAGAGCAAUGGGUUGUGAUUACUACACAAGUUAAACCUCAUGUGCAAUCAUUAACUGCUAAAACAGUUGAAAUUUAUGAGGCCUCAAAGACUACAGUCACUCCACACAUCAUCAGAGUACAAGAAAUAGGUGAUCCUUACUUUCAGGAAGCUAAAAAGUUCAGCAAGCCAUAUAUUGAUCAGGUUGCUACCAUGACAAAGCCCCAUGUUGAUAAAGUUAAAGUGGCUUUGAAGCCCUACACGAAAGAGGCAGUUCAUGCAUAUGGGAAGUUUUUAGAAUCUGCAACCACAUACCACAAUCAGGUGCAAGUCACUGUACAAGAGACACUGGAAAAGCAUGAGCUCACAAAACCACUUGCAAUGAAAGAGUUGAUCUGGUUCAUUGCCUCUGCUUUGUUGGCCCUGCCUGUCAUUAUUUUGGCCAGAGCUUGUUCUUCCAUUUUCUGCCAAAAGGCAAAGAAACCUGCUAGAAAUGCUCACACCAAUCCCUCUCGUCGCAAGGCUAAACGGGGGCAUUAAGACAAGUAGACUUUUUGGUGCAUUGCUGGGAUUUUCCAUUGCAAUAUAUUGUGAUGGGACUUGUGAUCUUUGCAUGGGCUUUUGGGACUGAUUUUCCAUCCAGGGAGCACCAGCACCAACAAUUUCUUUCCUUUUAGUCUUUGUGAAGAAUGUCUAGAACCUUUCACACUACAAAAGUUUAGAUGUAUUUUGAGUCAUGUUGGUAGAGACCUAAGAGUUGUAAUUUAUUUUUUAUUCUUCUCAAUUUACAGUUGAAAUGACAGAAAUCUUCCCUUUCAUUUUGUUUAUUACUAGAAUUAUGUUUGUUCAGC
Populus euphratica (Euphrates poplar) is the source of this 1838-nucleotide RNA transcript. It is a transcript of the gene named cingulin-like protein 1, with no coding region annotated. Lineage: Eukaryota; Viridiplantae; Streptophyta; Magnoliopsida; Malpighiales; Salicaceae. The record is from RefSeq and is a predicted model, not a curated record. The transcript is spliced from 15 exons.